UGUUAAAAGUUUCAUCCAUUUCUACUGUUAAAAGCUAACAUGGCUAGCAAAAUAACCAAAUAGUUACACGUGGCUUGCCACAUGUACUUCAUGUUGAUGUAUAGGGAUAGUUUUUAAUAGUAUAAAUGGAUGAAAUUUGUAAUA
This is a non-coding RNA of Gossypium raimondii (Peruvian cotton), 144 nucleotides long. NCBI's taxonomy places the organism in Eukaryota, Viridiplantae, Streptophyta, Magnoliopsida, Malvales, Malvaceae. The record is from Rfam.